UACGGGGGGGGCAAGCGUUGUUCGGAAUUACUGGGCGUAAAGGGCUCGUAGGCGGCCAACUAAGUCGGAUGUGAAAUCCCCAGGCUUAACCUGGGAACUGCAUCCGAUACUGGAUGGCUUGAAUUCGGGAGAGGGAUGCAGAAUUCCAGGUGUAGCGGUGAAAUGCGUAGAUAUCUGGAGGAAUACCGGUGGCGAAGGCGGCAUCCUGGACCGACAUUGACGCUGAGGAGCGAAAGCGUGGGUAGCAAACAGG
Molecule: ribosomal RNA, 253 nt
Filed under: uncultured bacterium
Lineage: Bacteria
Description: partial 16S ribosomal RNA
Rfam family: Bacterial small subunit ribosomal RNA
Source: RNAcentral